RNAcentral lists this ribosomal RNA (497 nucleotides) under uncultured bacterium. RNAcentral describes it as "partial 16S ribosomal RNA". It matches the Rfam family "Bacterial small subunit ribosomal RNA", at positions 28 to 507 of the family's 1533-position model. The record is from RNAcentral.
GAUGAACGCUGGCGGCGUGCCUAAUACAUGCAAGUCGAGCGAACAGACGAGGAGAUUGCUCCUCUGACGUUAGCGGCGGAAGGGUGAGUAACACGUGGAUAAACUACCUAUAAGACUGGGAUAACUUCGGGAAACCGGAGCUAAUACCGGAUAAUAUAUUGAACCGCAUGGUUCAAUAGUGAAAGACGGUUUUGCUGUCACUUAUAGAUGGAUCCGCGCCGCAUUAGCUAGUUGGUAAGGUAACGGCUUACCAAGGCGACGAUGCGUAGCCGACCUGAGAGGGUGAUCGGCCACACUGUAACUGAGACACGGUCCAGACUCCUACGGGAGGCAGCAGUAGGGAAUCCUCCGCAAUGGGCGAAAGCCUGACGGAGCAACGCCGCGUGAGUGAUGAAGGUCUUCGGAUCGUAAAACUCUGUUAUUAGGGAAGAACAAAUGUGUAAGUAACUAUGCACGUCUUGACGGUACCUAAUCAGAAAGCCACGGCUAACUACGUG